Molecule: non-coding RNA, 30 nt
Filed under: Mus musculus (house mouse)
Lineage: Eukaryota; Metazoa; Chordata; Mammalia; Rodentia; Muridae
Source: RNAcentral
UACUGAAUGUUUUCCUACCUCACAUCAUGA